Molecule: small nuclear RNA, 252 nt
Filed under: Octodon degus (degu)
Lineage: Eukaryota; Metazoa; Chordata; Mammalia; Rodentia; Octodontidae
Description: 7SK RNA (ENSODEG00000022991.1)
Rfam family: 7SK RNA
About the family: 7SK was discovered as an abundant small nuclear RNA in the mid-70s but a possible function has only recently been suggested. Two independent studies have found that 7SK RNA binds the CDK9/cyclin T complex (known as elongation factor P-TEFb). P-TEFb activates transcription by phosphorylating the C-terminal domain of RNA polymerase II.
Source: RNAcentral
GGAGGUGAGGGCGAUCUGGCUGUGACAUCUGUCACCCCAUUGAUCACCAGGGUUGAUUUGGUUCAUUUGGCUGGCUAGGCAGGUGUUCCCUUCCUCCUUCAAUGCUUCAUGUGUGUCCCUCCUGAAUCUGUGGGCUUGGAUGAAGAGGACAAAUAGAAGAGGACUUUUUCCUCAGUCAAGAGUAUAUGAGUAAAAUGAUGGAACUUAACAAAAAAAGGGGGAUACAGAUGAAUGUCCAUUUUGUAUCUGUGU